Long non-coding RNA from Polyodon spathula (Mississippi paddlefish), 936 nucleotides. RefSeq lists it as uncharacterized. The transcript is spliced from 3 exons. Lineage: Eukaryota; Metazoa; Chordata; Actinopteri; Acipenseriformes; Polyodontidae. The record is from RefSeq and is a predicted model, not a curated record.
GAUAUUGAUGAGACACAGCCCUCUGAAAUGUCUUUAUCAGAAGAAACUGUAUAUUCCAAUAUAUCUCGUCUAGCGUGCUGGGUGUCAGCAGUGAGAGAUGGGAUGAGGAGGAUUCCUGCAGCUUUGGGUUUGUUUACAAAACGAAAGGAGAAAUUAUUUGUUUACACACACACACACACACCCAGCAACUUAUCAACAAAACAACUCACUGCCUUUUAAAUGUGCAUUCAUUAAAACAAUAUACAUGUCCCUUACAUGAAGUACAAUCAAAUACAUAAAUAAAUAAAUAAAUAAAGGCAGUUUAAUUAAUUAAAAAAAAGCGAGGGAGAGAGAGGGAGAGAGACGGGAGGGUGUGUGUAACUCAGAUAGAGACGAGGCGUUGAAUGCAGUUCCAGUUGUGUGUAAUUUAGGAUGUAAUGGCGAGGAGAGACACAUAUUAUUGUUCUUCUUCUUCUUUAUUCUUAUUAUUAUUAUUAUUAUUACAACACAUAAAUUGCUAGCGCCCUUCUUUUCGGCCUCUGUCAGCGGGGCCGAGCUGGUUGGCCCGCCCGGGUCAGCUGAGAGAGAGAGGGGGGCGGACAGUCCUUGAUUACCGUGAAAGGUGGAGGGGACUCACACACACACACACACAAAAAAAAAAAAAAAAAAAACAAAACACACAAAAUAACACAAUCAGGGGAUUUUUGGUAUCGGGUCCGACUCGGCGGCCGGGGGGCUCAGACCGGGAGUCAGCGAGGGGAGCCCGGCAGGGAGCGCUAAGGGAGAGCGCGGCUCCGCCGGGAACAGCCAGCGGCCUAGGCGUGUGCAGCAGAGCCUGCGGGUCGCCUGGAAAUUGCAGCCUCGGAAAAGGGAGAGCAGGACCGGGGCAGCCCCAAUGAAGACAGACGGACUGAAACCCGUUCUUUCUGAUCCGAUCAAGAGAACGGAGUGACAAAG